UCCUACGGGAGGCAGCAGUGAGGAAUAUUGGUCAAUGGGCGAGAGCCUGAACCAGCCAAGUCGCGUGAGGGAGUACUGCCCUAUGGGUUGUAAACCUCUUUUGUCGGGGAGCAAAAGCCGGACGUGUCCGGCUGUGAGAGUACCCGAAGAAAAAGCAUCGGCUAACUCCGUGCCAGCAGCCGCGGUAAUACGUAGGAUACGAGCGUUAUCCGGAUUUAUUGGUUUUAAAGGGUGCGCAGGCGGAUUUUUAAGUCAGCGGUCAAAUCGGUGGGCUCAACCCCCUCCAGCCGUUGAAACUGGGGAUC
RNAcentral lists this ribosomal RNA (305 nucleotides) under uncultured bacterium. RNAcentral describes it as "bacterial SSU rRNA". It matches the Rfam family "Bacterial small subunit ribosomal RNA", at positions 337 to 641 of the family's 1533-position model. The record is from RNAcentral.